This is a long non-coding RNA of Mytilus californianus (California mussel), 1867 nucleotides long. RefSeq lists it as uncharacterized. The record is from RefSeq and is a predicted model, not a curated record. NCBI's taxonomy places the organism in Eukaryota, Metazoa, Mollusca, Bivalvia, Mytilida, Mytilidae. The transcript is spliced from 6 exons.
UUUCUGUGACAUGUUUUCAUGGUGUGGGAAUAAGACUUGGUGGUCUAAUACAGCUAAUAUGUAGGUUAGCUUCACAGCUUGUCUGUAAGGAUUGAGGCUUGGAAUGGUCAUUGGAGCUGAAAUUUAUGGUAACUUUUACUGUGGCUGCAUAAAAUGACUGUGUAAUAUCACUGUAACAGUGAAAAAUGUAAAAUAGACAAUUUUUGUGUAUGCUUGAAAAAAUGUUUAUAAUUUUUUACAAAAAAUUAAAAAAAAAAAAAAAAAUUGUGUAAAGAUUCUCCAUUUUCAACAAGAUUGGAAGUUGUAGGUUAACUUGUAUUUGAAAUUCAAAAUUUCAUUUUCUUUUUUCCAUUGAAGCCCUAUGGCAAUAUUUUGGUAGCUCUUCUCAAGUCAAUUAUUGCCUUGACAUAUUAUUUUUCAUUCUUUUUUUUUAAAUGAAGUGGAACGGACUAAUUUUACUUGAAGACCUACUUAAGAAAUAUUAAUAAUGGUCUGUGUCUAGUCAAAACACUUCCAGUAGGUUAAGAAUGGAGAAUCUAAAAAAAAAAAAAAAAAAAGAAAGAAAAGAAAAAGAAACAAAUGUCAUUUUAUUGAAAUGUAGUUUUUGGUUUCCAGAUUUGUUAGAUAUAUGUCUGUUCCAACUUUUUUUUAUUUUUAGCUUAAUUGCUAACAACUUUUAAGAAUAUCUUACAAGUAGCAUAGUUGAAGAACAUCUUGAUGAAAAUAGAUUGAUUUUAGUGUUUAACCCCGCUUUCAUCAUGAUUGGUUGCCAGUUUUUAUAAGUGAAGGAAGCCAGAGUGCAUAAAGAAAACUGGACAGAAAAACAGGAAAUCCCAGUCAAUUAAGAUUGGAGUUGAACACAAAGUGAAAAUUAAAAUACUAAAUGUUUUGAAAUGUGUUGGGAUUUUUGUUAUUAAAUUUCUAAUUUUUGUGGUACUAUAUUUUGUAUUUUUGUUAAAUAUAGCAAAAAUGUGGAGUCCCAACAGGGUGAAAUUUAUAGUAAAGGGAGGUAAUACCCCUGUUUAACUCUACAUACUUGAAAUUUUCUCAAUGAUAGGGAAUAUAAAUUUUUAUUUAAUACUUAAAUAUUCAUAUUUGUAAAAGUUUUUUUUUUUUUUUUAAAUAUCAGAUGUUUACUUGCUAAAAUUAACUAUUAUUUAGAGCUCUGUAAAUAAAAAAAAUGUAAGCAGAGCUCUAGAUAAUAGAUACAUAGGGUGGGUGAAAUCAUGGGUCACUAAAGUGAUUUGGUAAAAUUUUCAAAAAAGGGGAUUGUUUGAAAGUGCAUCUGACAUUUUUAACUUUUAUUUUUGUAAAUACAAAUGGAAAAAAAAUAGAUUGACAAUAAGAAAAUGAGGACAGCCUCCUUGGCAGUCAGAAGAGCAGCUCCAUGCAAGAUGGUCAAUUAAAUCUUCAACCAAGUCUGAGGCUUUAGCAAGAAAAAUAUGAGGUGGUUGUAAUGACAAGGUUUUCAUGGUGUUGGGAGUAAGACUUGGAUAUCUGACACUGUUAACAUGUUGGUUAGCAUAUCAGCGUUUCCAUAGGGUUACUUACUGGGAUAGUUAUUAGAGCUGUUUUAAGUUGAUUGUUACUGUUGCUGCCUUGUAUGGUAAAAUCCUCAGACAAUAAUCCUGAAACCAUUGGAUGAACUGUUCCAAUAUUUUUUAGUAGAAUCUGUAAACAGUAGUUUUAUAAGCAGAAGAAUGAAUUGUUAACAAAUUUAGUUUUUAAUGCUGUAUCAAUUUAUCUAAAGUCCAAAUUAUAAAUAUUUUUUUCCUUAUUUAAGCUGUGAAAUUAUUGUUAUUUGAGGGGUCUCAAAAGUAUGCCAUAUGGUUUCACGAAAUACCCAUAAGACUCAUCAGUUUACAUA